GGUCAACAUGGCAUAGUGGUUAGAGUGUUGGACUACAACUCUGGAGACCGGAGCUCGAUUCCUUGCUUGGCCA
Molecule: non-coding RNA, 73 nt
Organism: Phrynosoma platyrhinos (Desert horned lizard)
Lineage: Eukaryota; Metazoa; Chordata; Lepidosauria; Squamata; Phrynosomatidae
Source: the annotation of a GenBank genome assembly